RNAcentral lists this ribosomal RNA (2366 nucleotides) under Escherichia coli. Its description in RNAcentral is "partial 23S ribosomal RNA". It matches the Rfam family "Bacterial large subunit ribosomal RNA", at positions 447 to 2798 of the family's 2925-position model. Lineage: Bacteria; Pseudomonadati; Pseudomonadota; Gammaproteobacteria; Enterobacterales; Enterobacteriaceae. The record is from RNAcentral.
GGGGGACCAUCCUCCAAGGCUAAAUACUCCUGACUGACCGAUAGUGAACCAGUACCGUGAGGGAAAGGCGAAAAGAACCCCGGCGAGGGGAGUGAAAAAGAACCUGAAACCGUGUACGUACAAGCAGUGGGAGCACGCUUAGGCGUGUGACUGCGUACCUUUUGUAUAAUGGGUCAGCGACUUAUAUUCUGUAGCAAGGUUAACCGAAUAGGGGAGCCGAAGGGAAACCGAGUCUUAACUGGGCGUUAAGUUGCAGGGUAUAGACCCGAAACCCGGUGAUCUAGCCAUGGGCAGGUUGAAGGUUGGGUAACACUAACUGGAGGACCGAACCGACUAAUGUUGAAAAAUUAGCGGAUGACUUGUGGCUGGGGGUGAAAGGCCAAUCAAACCGGGAGAUAGCUGGUUCUCCCCGAAAGCUAUUUAGGUAGCGCCUCGUGAAUUCAUCUCCGGGGGUAGAGCACUGUUUCGGCAAGGGGGUCAUCCCGACUUACCAACCCGAUGCAAACUGCGAAUACCGGAGAAUGUUAUCACGGGAGACACACGGCGGGUGCUAACGUCCGUCGUGAAGAGGGAAACAACCCAGACCGCCAGCUAAGGUCCCAAAGUCAUGGUUAAGUGGGAAACGAUGUGGGAAGGCCCAGACAGCCAGGAUGUUGGCUUAGAAGCAGCCAUCAUUUAAAGAAAGCGUAAUAGCUCACUGGUCGAGUCGGCCUGCGCGGAAGAUGUAACGGGGCUAAACCAUGCACCGAAGCUGCGGCAGCGACGCUUAUGCGUUGUUGGGUAGGGGAGCGUUCUGUAAGCCUGUGAAGGUGUGCUGUGAGGCAUGCUGGAGGUAUCAGAAGUGCGAAUGCUGACAUAAGUAACGAUAAAGCGGGUGAAAAGCCCGCUCGCCGGAAGACCAAGGGUUCCUGUCCAACGUUAAUCGGGGCAGGGUGAGUCGACCCCUAAGGCGAGGCCGAAAGGCGUAGUCGAUGGGAAACAGGUUAAUAUUCCUGUACUUGGUGUUACUGCGAAGGGGGGACGGAGAAGGCUAUGUUGUCCGGGCGACGGUUGUCCCGGUUUAAGCGUGUAGGCUGGUUUUCCAGGCAAAUCCGGAAAAUCAAGGCUGAGGCGUGAUGACGAGGCACUACGGUGCUGAAGCAACAAAUGCCCUGCUUCCAGGAAAAGCCUCUAAGCAUCAGGUAACAUCAAAUCGUACCCCAAACCGACACAGGUGGUCAGGUAGAGAAUACCAAGGCGCUUGAGAGAACUCGGGUGAAGGAACUAGGCAAAAUGGUGCCGUAACUUCGGGAGAAGGCACGCUGAUAUGUAGGUGAAGUCCCUCGCGGAUGGAGCUGAAAUCAGUCGAAGAUACCAGCUGGCUGCAACUGUUUAUUAAAAACACAGCACUGUGCAAACACGAAAGUGGACGUAUACGGUGUGACGCCUGCCCGGUGCCGGAAGGUUAAUUGAUGGGGUCAGCGCAAGCGAAGCUCUUGAUCGAAGCCCCGGUAAACGGCGGCCGUAACUAUAACGGUCCUAAGGUAGCGAAAUUCCUUGUCGGGUAAGUUCCGACCUGCACGAAUGGCGUAAUGAUGGCCAGGCUGUCUCCACCCGAGACUCAGUGAAAUUGAACUCGCUGUGAAGAUGCAGUGUACCCGCGGCAAGACGGAAAGACCCCGUGAACCUUUACUAUAGCUUGACACUGAACAUUGAGCCUUGAUGUGUAGGAUAGGUGGGAGGCUUAGAAGUGUGGACGCCAGUCUGCAUGGAGCCGACCUUGAAAUACCACCCUUUAAUGUUUGAUGUUCUAACGUUGACCCGUAAUCCGGGUUGCGGACAGUGUCUGGUGGGUAGUUUGACUGGGGCGGUCUCCUCCUAAAGAGUAACGGAGGAGCACGAAGGUUGGCUAAUCCUGGUCGGACAUCAGGAGGUUAGUGCAAUGGCAUAAGCCAGCUUGACUGCGAGCGUGACGGCGCGAGCAGGUGCGAAAGCAGGUCAUAGUGAUCCGGUGGUUCUGAAUGGAAGGGCCAUCGCUCAACGGAUAAAAGGUACUCCGGGGAUAACAGGCUGAUACCGCCCAAGAGUUCAUAUCGACGGCGGUGUUUGGCACCUCGAUGUCGGCUCAUCACAUCCUGGGGCUGAAGUAGGUCCCAAGGGUAUGGCUGUUCGCCAUUUAAAGUGGUACGCGAGCUGGGUUUAGAACGUCGUGAGACAGUUCGGUCCCUAUCUGCCGUGGGCGCUGGAGAACUGAGGGGGGCUGCUCCUAGUACGAGAGGACCGGAGUGGACGCAUCACUGGUGUUCGGGUUGUCAUGCCAAUGGCACUGCCCGGUAGCUAAAUGCGGAAGAGAUAAGUGCUGAAAGCAUCUAAGCACGAAACUUGCC